This 21-nucleotide non-coding RNA is filed under the name Mus musculus (house mouse). Lineage: Eukaryota; Metazoa; Chordata; Mammalia; Rodentia; Muridae. The record is from RNAcentral.
UGGUGAUGAACAGCAGUGUGG